Molecule: small RNA, 29 nt
Filed under: Bombyx mori (domestic silkworm)
Lineage: Eukaryota; Metazoa; Arthropoda; Insecta; Lepidoptera; Bombycidae
Description: ovarian small RNA-35812
Source: RNAcentral
UGUCUGAUUUUAUGCGAUGAUAUACCGGA